This is an RNA transcript of Callithrix jacchus (white-tufted-ear marmoset), 1750 nucleotides long. It is a transcript of the gene named UPF0561 protein C2orf68 pseudogene, with no coding region annotated. NCBI's taxonomy places the organism in Eukaryota, Metazoa, Chordata, Mammalia, Primates, Cebidae. The record is from RefSeq and is a predicted model, not a curated record.
AUGGUCACUUCCGGAAGUCAGGGCGUGGGCUGGAAGCUGAACGAGGGGCGGUGCGGACUUCUUUGGGCGGGGGGCGGUUGUUGGGGCCGUCGAGGCUGCGGCGACUCUGCGUCCCCGUCUCCAUUCGGAGACAGGGCCGCAUCCCCGGGUCACUCCUGCAGGCCUCGCGGGCGGCUGGACAUGAACCACGGCUUCGUGCACAAUAUCCGACGGAACCCGAUCGCCCGGGACGACUGCGACAAGAAGGUGAAGCAGGCGGCCAAGGAGAAGGUGAGGACGCAGCAGACGCCCGCGCCUAGGUGGCCCCGGGAGCCAGACCUGCCGGUGUACCUAACGCGACCCUGAGUUGUCUCCGCCCACCCACGCAGCCCAGACGGUCAAGAGUCAGGUGAAAGCAGCAGUAGUGGAGGCCCCGAGCUGGAGCCUUCUGGCUAUCAGCUCUUCCACUUGGAAUACCAGGCAGACAGUGGAGAGGUCACAUCAGUUAUGGUGUAUCAGGUUGAGGAGAUGUCGGCACGCAAGCCUCUGGAUCCACCCAUGCGAGAAGCCCUCCAGUUCCAUAUCCAGGAGGAGAUUGCAAUGCCCCAGAGCUGACACUGACAUUCACUGCACAUGGAAGAAUUCUGCCCAGGGAGCUCAUACUUAGAUUGGGGGUAUCAGGACCAGUUUGUCUGAUCUUGAGACCCCCACAGCUGCUGCAUCCAUAGGGUGUUGCAGGACUACACCUGGCCUGCCUUGCAGUCAUUCUUUCUUAUAUGUUGACCCAUUUGCCCAGCCUGAUAUUCUGGAAUUUUUUUUGAGAAUUUUCUGUGGUUAACGUGGUGUUCUAAAAGCAGAGACUCCAGGGAGAACCAGGAUUUAUGAAGCCUCAUGCCCACGUGGUGCUUUCUCACCAAGGUCAUGUGCCUGUCUGGCUGCUGCUGUUCCACUCAGCUGCAUGAGCCAUGUUUGCUAUUUUAUGGUUCUUCUGUGCUUUUGCUCAUUUCUGCCCAUGUAUUCAUAGACCUUUUUUUCAGCCCUUUUUCUUUGUUCCUUUCCCUCAUCUUUUUGCCUCAGGUAGAAUCCAUCAGUUCUCCUCCCCCUUCAACAUGACUGUGUACCUCCAGCUGCUCAGGACUUUGGAGGAGGUGGUGGUGGUGUUGGUGGGGGAGGCGGGGUUCUGGGAUCUACCCUUCUAACAAACUCUCCAGGUAAUUCUGAUACCAAUAAAGUGGGAGACCUCCAAAAAAAAAAAAAAAAAAAGACAGUAGCUGAUGUUCAUGGCAAGCGCCUCUCAUCACUGUCCACUUCAAGGAAACAUUCCAGCGUUUUCUAUGUUGGCUGCCACCUCGUCUGAAGUCAGCACAUUCCAUGAAGGAAGGAGUCCUGCUUUGUUGCAUCUUCUAUCCUAGGGUUUAAUGUUGGUGAAUGAGUAACUCUAACAUUUGUACAAGGCUCCCUACAGAUCGAACUCCUUGUUCUACUCUUUUCCUCCCUUCUCACUACUGCACUUGACUAGUCUUUAAAAAUGAAAAAGAAAAAAAGAAAUGUACAUAGGAAGAAAGGCACAAAAAUAAAUGCUCACUUAUUUUUGCAUUUGUAUAUGUAAAUAUAUACAUAUGUAUAUUUAUAUUAAUUAUUGGGACAGUUUGGGAAAACAAAAAUUAUCUGGGCAUGGCGGCAUGCACCUGUAAUCCCCACUACUUGGGAGGCUGAGACAGGAGAAUUGCUUGAACCCAGGAGGCAGAGGUUGCAGUGAACCGAGAUAGAG